CAGCAGCAGCCGCGGUAAUACGGAGGGUGCAAGCGUUAAUCGGAAUUACUGGGCGUAAAGCGCACGCAGGCGGUUUGUUAAGCCAGAUGUGAAAUCCCCGAGCUUAACUUGGGAACUGCAUUUGAAACUGGCAAGCUAGAGUCUUGUAGAGGGGGGUAGAAUUCCAGGUGUAGCGGUGAAAUGCGUAGAGAUCUGGAGGAAUACCGGUGGCGAAGGCGGCCCCCUGGACAAAGACAGACGCUCAGGUGCGAAAGCGUGGGGAGCAAACAGGAUUAGAUACCCCUGUAGUCCCUGUCUCUUAUAC
Molecule: ribosomal RNA, 304 nt
Filed under: uncultured bacterium
Lineage: Bacteria
Description: partial 16S ribosomal RNA
Rfam family: Bacterial small subunit ribosomal RNA
Source: RNAcentral